GAACCCUAUAGGCCCUUGCCCCGCCGAGGGUCCUGAAUUCCUCGCCCCCGGGGUGCUGAAUCCCACAGCCCGCGUCCCAUCGCGUGUGGGGCUGCGACUGCUCGCGAGGCUGGCAGCAGGGCGCGAGCUCCGGCAAGGCUCCCCGGGGGCAGGCGGCGGAGCCCAUGGGCCGCGGCCUAGACGUGCCGGGGGCCCGGGCUCGAGUGUGGCGGCCGCCUGGCGCCUCCUCACCUUCUCUUCCACGCAGUUGACUAUGAUGGACGGGUACUUGCGGCUGAGCCAGCGGAAGAACGCCGGGACUCCCAUAGCGGCACACGGCUGGAGGCGGCGGCCGACCGGCUGACGAGCGUAACCAAAGAGACGGGAGCAGCGGCAGAGGGCACCAGCACUUCCUCCCACGUGCGCGCUGGAGAACGGAAGUGACGUCACGGCGCCGCCGCCGGGGAAGCUGGGAAGGAGGCUUCGCUGGAUGAGGGAGCGGCGGAAAAGGGCCUUGCCGGGCUGUUUGUGGGAGGCGGAGUCCGGCGGCGGACCGGGUGGCGAAGGCUGCAGCUCGCCCUCGGUGGUCCCAGCCCCGGAGCGCGAGGCCGAGCGCGUCUGAGUUGCGGGGGCUCACGGGCGACUGCUCUGCCGGGGCUCCGCCGGGAUCUCCCAGCCCCAGCCCUCCGGCUCCCUGGGCACAGAAUCGCUGCGCUCUGCAUGCCCGGGAGGAGGUCUCCCUUGCCCGUUUGGUCACCUCUUGUUUGGAAGAAAAUGUCUUUUUUUGCCUCUAUGCUCACCCGUCUCAAUCUAGGGUAGAAUCGAAGCAUCCAAACUUACUCGUUACUUCCAUUUCCUGGUUUCUCCUAGUUUUGUGCUGCAGUACGUACCUGGACUAUCAAAAGGAGCAUUUUAAAGCAUUUUACAGUAAUAAUGGCUGCUUUGCACCAAUAAUUUGAUUGUUAUGCAAAUAAAUAAUUAUGAUAGUUACCGAA
Long non-coding RNA from Homo sapiens (human), 974 nucleotides. The record is from Ensembl. NCBI's taxonomy places the organism in Eukaryota, Metazoa, Chordata, Mammalia, Primates, Hominidae.